CGGCCCCCUGGAGGAGGCGGCCCCAGGGGCGGGGAGCGCGAGGAGGAGCGCCCGCCGCCUGUUCCCCGCCGCAUGGACGAGCACCUCAGCCUCCUGCCCUCGCCGCCGCAGCCCUCCGCCCGCCACCGCACCCACCCGCCCCAGGACCCCGCGAGCAGCGGCUGCGGCGCCCACACGCUGGUGAACCCCGGCUACGCCGAGCCCGCCGCAGACCCGGAGCUGCCUCCCGACAUGACCGUGGUGCCCGGGGACCACCUGCUGGAGCCCGAGGUGGCCGACGGCGGAGGGGACCCGCCUCAGGGUGGCGGCGGCGGCGGCGGCUGUGACCGCUACGAGCCGCUGCCGGCCGCUGGCGAGCAGGAAUGCUGCGGGGAACGCGUGGUCAUCAACAUCUCGGGGCUGCGCUUCGAGACGCAGCUCAAGACCCUCUGCCAGUUCCCCGAGACGCUGCUGGGCGACCCCAAGCGGCGCAUGAGGUACUUCGACCCGCUCCGCAACGAGUACUUCUUCGACCGCAACCGACCCAGCUUCGACGCCAUCCUCUACUACUAUCAGUCCGGAGGUCGCAUCCGCCGGCCGGUCAACGUGCCCAUCGACAUCUUCUCCGAGGAGAUCCGCUUCUACCAGCUGGGCGAGGAGGCCAUGGAGAAGUUCCGCGAGGACGAGGGCUUCCUGCGGGAGGAAGAGCGGCCCCUGCCCCGCCGCGACUUCCAGCGCCAGGUGUGGCUGCUCUUCGAGUACCCCGAGAGCUCCGGGCCGGCCCGGGGCAUCGCCAUCGUGUCCGUGCUCGUCAUCCUCAUCUCCAUCGUCAUCUUCUGCCUGGAGACACUGCCCGAGUUCCGCGACGAGAAGGACUAUCCUGCCGCGCCGUCGCAGGACGGGUUGGAGGCGGCCGGCAACGGCACGUCGGGGAGCCCCGCGGGAGCCUCCAGCUUCUCUGACCCCUUCUUCGUGGUGGAGACCCUGUGCAUCAUCUGGUUCUCCUUCGAGCUGCUCGUGCGCUUCUUCGCUUGUCCCAGCAAAGCCACCUUCUCAAGAAAUAUCAUGAACCUGAUCGACAUCGUGGCCAUCAUUCCCUAUUUCAUCACCCUGGGCACCGAGCUGGCCGAGCGACAGGGCAACGGACAGCAGGCCAUGUCCCUAGCUAUCCUGAGGGUCAUCCGCCUGGUGAGGGUCUUCCGCAUCUUCAAGCUGUCCCGCCACUCCAAGGGGCUGCAGAUCCUGGGGCAGACGCUGAAGGCUUCCAUGCGUGAGCUGGGGCUGCUCAUCUUCUUCCUCUUUAUUGGAGUCAUCCUCUUCUCCAGCGCCGUCUACUUUGCUGAGGCUGACGACCCCACUUCGGGCUUUAGCAGUAUCCCAGAUGCCUUCUGGUGGGCAGUGGUGACCAUGACGACAGUCGGGUAUGGUGACAUGCAUCCUGUGACCAUAGGGGGAAAGAUUGUGGGCUCUCUCUGUGCCAUCGCCGGUGUCUUGACCAUUGCGCUGCCAGUCCCCGUGAUUGUUUCCAACUUCAAUUACUUCUACCACCGGGAGACAGAAGGGGAAGAGCAAGCCCAGUACAUGCAUGUGGGAAGUUGCCAGCACCUCUCUUCCUCAGCCGAGGAGCUCCGGAAAGCAAGGAGCAACUCGACCCUGACUCCAAGUCCUUCCCACCUCUCAGCUGUGAAUAGAAGUAAUUACCCCUCCCACUGAUACAUGCAAAGAAGCACACAGGACCCCCAGUUGAAGACUUAUGGAAACACUGUGAGAUAGAGAUCCCUGAGGAGCCCCACAUCAAGAACUGUAGAGCUUCAGUGAUCAGUAGGGUGCUGAGUUUUCAACUGUCUGGAUCAAGAUCACAGUAGCAGUUGUACCACUGACAGGUGGUGAUCUGUCUGCCAGGUCAUAUUUUUAUUUCAGUUGACAUUAAAUAGUAUGUCUCUAACAAAUACUUCCUGCAAAGGAAACAGUUUUGAAACUGGAGGAUUCCCUUUGUACUGUGUACAGUAUAAAGGAUAUGAAUCAAAGAUAAAGAAGAAUGUUAAGAAGAUUAAGGUGUUGUUUCAAUCUUUAACAUUUUGAUGGAAUUUUAUCAUCCAAAAACUAUAAUCAGUGCUGCAAACAAGGGAAACCUAAAUGUGUCUCACAAUCACAACUAUUGAUUUUUUUUUCAGUUACUGGACUGUAUUUAAGCAUGAGAUACAUUCUGUGUUUGGGGUUGUGUGCAGCUUUGUGAAGGUUGUGUGUUGUACCAAAGGCUCUCAUGCAGCAGUUAGCCUAUUUACAAAUAACUAAGGGAAGUCUACACUGUGCCCAGAUGAAUGGUAUUGAGGACAGACAUGCCUAAAAGAAAUGUGCCUUGCUUGAUUAAACAUUCCUUUAUUUUUAACUCAAAAUGAUAGAUAAUCUUAUAGGCAGAUGCUAGCUGAGUUCAUGUUACAGAAAUGCAUUAGUAUGCUUAUGUUGUCUAUUUUAACUAAAUUUUAACAUCUGUACUUUCCAAAAGAUCAUAUUUAACCAUUCAAUUUUAUUUUCGUUGGAUGUUGGUUGUGGCAAGACCAAGCACGUUCUUAGAGAUAUAUGUAAUAGUUCAUUUAAUGUUUAUAACUUUUCCUGUACAAUUACUUACAUAAAUUUUCCUUGACUUGUUUUCUAUUAGUAUAUUCUUUUAGAAAUGGUACUCUUUUUUCAAUUAAAGUUUUAUUUGGAAAAGAUAUUUAGUAGGUCAUGAAGAUGAUGUCUCACUUGAGGACAUUUCACUUUUGUGCCAUUAUUAAUGUACUUACUGUGAUAUUUCAGCAGAAUGGUAGCUAUUUGUAUAUUAUUUCAUACGCCUUAUGAGAAGUCAGACUGUGAACAUUUAGUAUAUGGAAAACUUCUCAUUUCAAAGUACACUUUACAAAGUACAAAUACACAAAUAAUCAAUAUCCUAUUAUUUAAAUAUAUAGUAAUAACAUGUUGUAACAGGACUUGCAGAAUUUUAAUCACUAUAAAAUAUCUCAGUAGCAAAGCCAACACUUUGUGAACUUUUUGAAGCCCAAUAGAAAGAAUAUAUAUAGGUGAUAAAUCUAAUUGGUAAUAUAUAAGAAUCAGUAACUAAAACAAUUUUAUAACUAGCAGCAAAACAAACGGAUGGGACAAUCUGGGUUACUUUCUUUGAGGCAAUCUCCACAAUAAAGUGUUCACAGUCUUCUAGAGAUUUCUUGAUGUUCAAAGCUUUGAUCUGCAUCAUAAUUGGCAAAGGUGAAAUGAAAGGAUGGCAACUAUCUCAGGUUGGAGCUAUAUGAAAACGUCUAAUCCAGAUGAUUUAUGAUUCGAACAAGAAUAGCCACCAGCUUGUUUUUGUUGUUAGACCACUUAGUAGAGACAUUGGCCCUGAGAACCGACUUAACCCUCAUGCUAAUAGACAAAGCCUAGCCAGCAGUAAGCAAUCCCCAUCAGCUACUAGACGAUUGGAAUACACCCACCAACUGUGUAUAAGACAUCUCAGACAUUCAGGUGUGUCUGGUUUUUUUUUUAAGGAUCAAUAGGUUUUAUAAAAAUUGAACCAAAAACUGCCUUCAUAAAGCACCAGUGGCACAACAUUGAACGGUCUAAUGUACUUGUAUGUCAUAUCUACAUUAUUAUAGGUUAGUUUGAAAUAAAGCCAAACCUGGACUUUGGUGAUGAAAGCACAGAAUGGUUUGGAUGACUCACCUGUCAUACCACAUAUGGUUCACAGGUUGGGUGGUGAUAACAGUAUUGGUCUAGUUAACAGGAGAUCAUGGUUCUUACCUACUUUCUAACUGGGGGACCUUGAUAUUUCAGUUACCAUUUCUAGUGUUCAUUUUCUUGGAUUGCAUAAUGGGUUCAAUCAUUCAAUAAAUUCCUGAGCCCUUUUCCAGUCCCCAGAUCCUUCCUCAUUAUACACAUUACUUGAAAAAUGCUUUGAAGAAUAUUUAAGUACUCAGAUUUUCUUAUGCAUUUCUAAAGGGAGAGAUAAAAUGAAAUAAGCUUUUAAGCCUUGAAAGUGCCAUAGUGUCAUAAAUAUAUCAUUCUUCAAAUUGAUCAUAAGAAGAGGAAAUAGGGUUCUUUUUAUUUUAAGAAGUUUUACUGAUUUAUAAUGGGAUCAUGAAAAAGUAGAAAAUCACUCAGUAGAACGCAAACAGAUGAAUAAAACAGCUAGAAAGUAGGAGAGGAUAUUUGUGAAGUAUUUAAGGUAAUUUGAAAAUUGUGCAUGAAAUGGUAAAAUGGUACCAAGAGCUUUAUUGCACACUCAACAUUUAGGAACCUGGGAAUAGGGGACAGUGGAAGAAUACUGGAGCAAUGGAGUGCCUUAUGGUCUCUUGACUCUUUUCCGUAAGAAGCUGUCGGCUGGAGCUCAGGCAGGUGUCUGCUGCAGUUCUGUUUCUGCUAGUAAUUCUCAUGUGCCCUAGGAAGUUCCAUUUUGCUUUUUUGAGCCUCAAUUUCCUUAUCCAUAAAAUCACUUUAAAUUUAAUAAUCUGUAUAUUUUCAUCUUUAAAAAUUUCAUAACAUUUUCAUAUUGUUAACAUAUGAACAGGCUUCAAAAAAUUCAUGAAAAAAAUGGAACUAAACAUUAAAGGGAUUUUCCAUGAACUUCUUGAAGCCCCCUUAAAUAUGUGUACUUGUUGUUCCUUUUUGGUCUUUAAGGUACCACAUAUUUCUACCCAAAUGACUGAACAGAUUGCAAAUCCAAAUGUUUUUAUUUCUCAUGUUGCUAACUGACCUCAGCAGGACAUUAAAAAGUUAAACUUUUCAUUUUCACCAUCCUUUGUCAUUUCGUGUUUACAUGCUGAGUUAAUUACCUAAACAGAAUGUUCCCAUCAGUCUUCUCUUUAAAUAUUUUAGCAAAUUAGAAUCAAAUAUAUUGUGCUUACCAAUGAACUGUUAGAUAGUUUUGGCGCCCCCCCCGCCAAAAAUGGUAAUGCCCUUUUGGUCUCAGAAGCAAUGAACUUACCUUUAAACAAUAUUCACAAAAUUUUAUUAGUUUUCUUAAUACGCAGGAGGCAUGACAGAGCCAUAUUUUAAUUAAUUUUGCUCAGGAGUGAGAAAUAAAAUUCAGGGACAAUCCAAACACUUCUGUUUGGCAUUGGUGGACAAUUAGGACAAGAAGGGUUAUAACUUUUGCACACGUAGGUAGGAAAUCACUGUACCCCUUAGAAAAAUCAGUAUAUUAUUACUGCUGGUUUUAUGAUAGAAAGAAAUUAGGUUAGAAAAGUGCUAAAUCUUGGACAUUAGAGAAACUGUUAAGAUAAUUGGAGGCCAUUUGAAUAAUACAGACAUAUUCUGCCAUUCUCAGAUUAUUUGUCCAGAGGUUUAGUCUUGUAUCCCUUCCAUUCAGAAAAGGGGGCAGUUUUUAAAGACCUCUAUCAUAAUAGGAAAUGUAUAUUUUGACUAGUGGAGCAAUUACUUAGCACAUUCAAUCUGAUAAUUUUGGCUUUGUGAAUCUGAAUUUUCAUUGUAUAUGUAAUUGAGUCUCACGUAUUCAUGUUAGUGAUCAUUGUGAGAAGUGACUUUAUCUGUUCUUUUAAAAAGUGAUGAAAUUUGCUAAAUGGUGAUUCUAGUGCAUUGUGUUAAUAUUGUAUCUUACAAUUUGUGAACUGAUAAUACUAAACAAACUGUAGCAGUAUUUCUUCUGGUAAAUUGUUUCUGUGGUGUGAUCUCUUAAUACUGGGAUUGCGGUUGGGGGGAGGUUAAAUUUACUUAAAACUGUCGAAGUGUUUUCCUUACAUGCCAUGAAACUGUAUGACUCUAAACCAAAUAAGAGUAUCUUCUUUUUGUUUAUUUCAAGAACACUGUAUAAACCGUUUUUGAAACUAUCCCAUGAAAUGGUAUGAUUUGUGUUUCAAAAGCUCCUAUAUGUAUAUACAAGGGAAAGCACUGUGUGUAGUGUUUCUGUGUAAUAUACUAAAUGUUAUAGGAAUCCAUUCUUGAAAUCUUAUAGAAAUGGUAAUUAAGCAGAUGUCACAAUAACAAACAUGUCACCUCAAUUUUUCAUAGGAAGUCUAACGUUUAUAACAUAUCUUUGCCAGUAUCAUUCAUUUUUAUGUAAUUCUGAAGCAUCCUGUGAAGUACUGAUACUAUCUGAAGUUUAGAGAUUAAACAACCAAAACUUGGAAAGAGCAGACGAUUUGUCCAAGAACAUUUGGCCAAAUAGCUAAAACUCAUGUUCACUGUGUUACUGUUUUUAUCCUAUUGUUACCAUUAUAUUUAAGGCUUUGGCAGAGUUUAAAUUCUGAAAGACAUAUAAGGAAAUUGCA
Ochotona princeps (American pika) is the source of this 6239-nucleotide RNA transcript. It is a transcript of the gene named potassium voltage-gated channel subfamily A member 3, with no coding region annotated. Lineage: Eukaryota; Metazoa; Chordata; Mammalia; Lagomorpha; Ochotonidae. The record is from RefSeq and is a predicted model, not a curated record. The transcript has 3 exons.